RNAcentral lists this ribosomal RNA (497 nucleotides) under uncultured bacterium. RNAcentral's name for it is "partial 16S ribosomal RNA". It matches the Rfam family "Bacterial small subunit ribosomal RNA", at positions 28 to 507 of the family's 1533-position model. The record is from RNAcentral.
GAUGAACGCUGGCGGCGUGCCUAAUACAUGCCAGUCGAGCGAACAGACGAGGAGCUUGCUCCUCUGACGUUAGCGGCGGACGGGUGAGUAACACGUGGAUAACCUACCUACAAGACUGGGAUAACUUCGGGAAACCGGAGCUAAUACCGGAUAAUAUAUUGAACCGCAUGGUUCAAUAGUGAAAGACGGUUUUGCUGUCACUUAUAGAUGGAUCCGCGCCGCAUUAGCUAGUUGGUAAGGUAACGGCUUACCAAGGCGACGAUGCGUAGCCGACCUGAGAGGGUGAUCGGCCACACUGGAACUGAGACACGGUCCAGACUCCUACGGGAGGCAGCAGUAGGGAAUCUUCCGCAAUGGGCGAAAGCCUGACGGAGCAACGCCGCGUGAGUGAUGAAGGUCUUCGGAUCGUAAAACUCUGUUAUUAGGGAAGAACAAAUGUGUAAGUAACUAUGCACGUCUUGACGGUACCUAAUCAGAAAGCCACGGCUAACUACGUG